This 497-nucleotide ribosomal RNA is filed under the name uncultured bacterium. Its description in RNAcentral is "partial 16S ribosomal RNA". It matches the Rfam family "Bacterial small subunit ribosomal RNA", at positions 28 to 507 of the family's 1533-position model. The record is from RNAcentral.
GACGAACGCUGGCGGCGUGCCUAAUACAUGCAAGUUGAGCGAUGAAGAUUGGUGCUUGCACCUAUUUGAAGAGCAGCGAACGGGUGAGUAACGCGUGGGGAAUCUGCCUUUGAGCGGGGGACAACAUUUGGAAACGAAUGCUAAUACCGCAUAACAACUUUAAACAUAAGUUUUAAGUUUGAAAGAUGCAAUUGCAUUACUCAAUGAUGAUCUCGCGUUGUAUUAGCUAGUUGGUGAGGUAAAGGCUCACCAAGGCGAGGAUACAUAGCCGACCUGAGAGGGUGGUCGGCCACAUUGGGAAUGAGACACGGCCCAAACUCCUACGGGAGGCGGAAGUAGGGAAUAUUCGGCGAUGGGCGAAAGUCUGACCGAGAGCCGCCGCGUGAGUGAGGAGGAUUUCCGGAUCGUGAAACACUGUUGGUAGAGAGGAGCGUUGGUGAGAAUGGAAAGAUGAUCGAGUGACGGUAACUGAACCAGAAAGGAAGGCUAACUACGUG